GGGCCGGUAGCUCAGGGGUAGAGCACCGGACUUUUAAUCCGGGUGUCGAGGGUUCGAAACCCUCCCGGCUCACCA
This 75-nucleotide transfer RNA is filed under the name Chloroflexota bacterium. RNAcentral describes it as "Chloroflexi bacterium (aquatic metagenome) tRNA-Lys". It matches the Rfam family "tRNA". From Rfam's summary of the family: Transfer RNA (tRNA) molecules are approximately 80 nucleotides in length. Their secondary structure includes four short double-helical elements and three loops (D, anti-codon, and T loops). Further hydrogen bonds mediate the characteristic L-shaped molecular structure. tRNAs have two regions of fundamental functional importance: the anti-codon, which is responsible for specific mRNA codon recognition, and the 3' end, to which the tRNAs corresponding amino acid is attached (by aminoacyl-tRNA synthetases). tRNAs cope with the degeneracy of the genetic code in two manners: having more than one tRNA (with a specific anti-codon) for a particular amino acid; and 'wobble' base-pairing, i.e. permitting non-standard base-pairing at the 3rd anti-codon position. Lineage: Bacteria; Bacillati; Chloroflexota. The record is from RNAcentral.